UGUAUACAUUAAGGUGUGCAGGUCAAU
RNAcentral lists this non-coding RNA (27 nucleotides) under Mus musculus (house mouse). Lineage: Eukaryota; Metazoa; Chordata; Mammalia; Rodentia; Muridae. The record is from RNAcentral.